Molecule: ribosomal RNA, 381 nt
Filed under: uncultured archaeon
Lineage: Archaea
Description: bacterial SSU rRNA
Rfam family: Archaeal small subunit ribosomal RNA
Source: RNAcentral
UAACACCAGCGCCGCAAGUGGUGAUCAUGUUUAUUGGGCCUAAAGCGUUCGUAGCCGGUUUGAUAAAUCUUUUGUGAAAUUGUUAAAGUUAACCUAACAGAGUGCAAAAGAUACUGUUGAACUUGAGACCGGGAGGAGACAGAAGUACUUUGGGGGGAGUGGUAAAAUGCAGUAAUCCUCAAAGGACUGCCUGUGGCGAAGGCGUCUGUCUAGAACGGCUCUGACGGUGAGGAACGAAAGCUAGGGGCGCGAAUCGGAUUAGAUACCCGAGUAGUCCUAGCUGUAAACGCUGCGAGCUAUGUGUUGCAUGUUCUUUGAGGACAUGCAGCGCCGUAGUGAAGACGUUAAGCUCGCCGCCUGGGGAGUACGGUCGCAAGGCUG